This 471-nucleotide long non-coding RNA is filed under the name Heterocephalus glaber (naked mole-rat). RNAcentral describes it as "lncRNA (ENSHGLG00100050982.1)". Lineage: Eukaryota; Metazoa; Chordata; Mammalia; Rodentia; Bathyergidae. The record is from RNAcentral.
CUGCGGAGGCGACUCCUGCACCCGCCGGGCCCACGCUGGGGUCACGGUGGAGGAACUCAGAAGCUCUUUGCUGCAGCCCAGUGGCCGCCGGCGGAACCUGACGGGGCUCGAGGCCCGGGCGGGACAGGGCCAGGCCGUGAGCGUGCCCUUUAUCCCCCACAGCCGUGAGUUUGGGGGCAUCUGUCCCCCUUCGCAGGAUCUGGCACCGUGCACCCUCUGGCUCUUCCCCAAAGUCAGAAUGACCAUGAAAGGAGCCUCCAUUCUGAUUUCCAUAAUGGCUUCAGUAACCUACAUUCCCAGCAGGAGCCCACAAAGAUUCCUUUUCCUCCACACCUUCACCAAUACCUGGCAGCCCUUGCUCCCUUACUAACAGCCAUUUACCAGAGAAUGAACUAAGGCACCUCCCUAUUCAGAGGUUCUCCAGAAACAGUGAGGAGACUGCAGACCUCCGACAUCUACCUGCUGCUCAGG